Long non-coding RNA from Coccinella septempunctata (seven-spotted ladybird), 11884 nucleotides. RefSeq lists it as uncharacterized. NCBI's taxonomy places the organism in Eukaryota, Metazoa, Arthropoda, Insecta, Coleoptera, Coccinellidae. The transcript is spliced from 2 exons. The record is from RefSeq and is a predicted model, not a curated record.
AUUUUUAAUUUCUAUUUUUUUAUGAUACAACAUACAAAAAUACAUACAAUCCUCAAUUUUCACCCUUCUACGAUCAACCCUUAUUUUUUAAUAGCCAUUUUAGUAAUUUAAUCAUUUUUCCUCUCCGGUCGAAAACUGAUCAAUCAUCAUUUAAUUAGUUAUCCCCGCCAGAUGUCUACAGGUGUCACUUCUGACCCGGUAAACAGCACGAACGAACGAACGAACGAACGAAUGAAUGAGAACGAAGCCGGUCUCCUUUCUUUCUCACUCCCUACACAGUUGUCAGCCAUCAUUAUUGUUUAGGAAAUUAUUUAUACGGCAAAACAACGUUUGCCGGGUCAGCUAGUUUUUCUAUAAUAAAGUUGAAAGAGAGGGUGUCAAGAGCCCUAGAGAGGUCAAAGAACAAUCCAGCAACAUAGAAACCACCAUCAAGACAUUCGUAUACAUAUUCAGUGAACUGAACAGCUGCCGACUGCGUUGAAUGGCCAGAUCUGAAGCCAUGCUGGGAAUUAUUCAAAAUAUCAUAUUUGUCAACAUACUUAGUCAUUCUGCCGAGGAUUAUCUUUUCGAAAACUUUCGAAAAAGAGUUCAGAAGAGAAAUUGGUCUGUAAUUGGUAAUAUCACGCAUGAUAUUUAUUUUAAAGAUUGAAAUGACCGUAGCCUUUUUUAACAAUGAAGGGAAAAUGCCUUGGUUUACAGACAAAUCGAUACACUGUGCAUAAUGCUGACAUAUCGGGCUUCUGGCAGAGACAGAAUUCGGACCAGAAAUUUUAUUAUUUAAUAAGUAAAUGAUAAAUGGAUUGACCACACUUGUACUACCCCGCCAGAAGCUCAUAAAUUAUUAACCAUUUUUCUUUCUCGAAGAGGUCUUCUUAAUCCUUCAGAUGUAGUGAGUAUAUAAAAUUUUACAUUUCGGUGAAAAGUAUAUUCGUCUGCUGUUAGAAAGUCGAAAUGUUUUGCAAAGCAAAAUAAAUUCAGAACGAAAGAUUACAGACAAUGUUAUCGAUCAAUUUUUUUCCAAUACAAAUCUUUUCAGACUUAAGCACCCUAGGACUCAAAGGUAUGUUGCGGGAGAAUGUCACGAAAUUCAAAUCAUACGGAAAAUUACCAAUAUCUAUUAUUUGUGCCAAAUGACCCCCCAUGCCAAACGCUCAAAUUUAGAGUUGCAUAGAACGAGUGCCACAAUACGACAAAAAAUUAAUGUAUUUUAUUUAGGAACUGUUGAAUUUGGUCUAUGUAUAUAUUGUUAUAUUCAUGAAAAUUGUAUUGCUUUUUGUAUUACACUUUUUUGUUUGUUUGUAAGAGUGUCAUCAUUCCUACAAUCAACACAACGAAGUUGCCGGAUAUCUUUUUAGGGCAGGUCUGAAAUCAGAUGUAAUAUUGAUGAUAUUUAUAAUCGUCAUAGUGGAUAAGCUCAUUCAUUAUUUAUGAAAGAAAUGUGUAUAUAGUUCAGUCCUUGUUUCAUCACACCAGAAGAAAUCGAAACAUGCCACAAAAACAUGAUUUGACUAAAAUAAAGAAACUAAAUUGCAUGAUUACCACACCUAGUUUAGCUCACACAAUAGCUCCUUCACAAAGUUGAAGGUAGGUGAAAUUAAUUAACUUGGUUAAACUAUCACUCUAUUGAAAUAGCGAAACAAUUGUAGUGGUGGUAAAAACUUGAUGGAAAUAAUGUAACUCAGUUUCUUCAGUUUUAUUUUUUUGUAUCAAGUACCCGCCAUAUCAAUUCGAUAUGUUUUUAAUAUGAAAAAAAACUUUUCAGGCUAAACUGAAAAUAAAAUUGGUGAAAUGAAGAGAGAAUAAAUCGAAGUAGGAUUAGACUGCUUGAAAUUGGUUCCGUAGGUUCUAAAUUUGAUCGGCUUCACAUUAUUACCAACAGCUGAUGGAUAUCAUGAUGAGUAUUUUCAAUGGCUUAUGAACCAUUCUGGGAAUACCACGAUUUCUCUAAAUUUCUCUAAGAAUAAGUGAUUUUGAAAACUAUUAGAAAGUUCCAAUCCAUCUGUGGAAGCUAUGUAUUUCAUGGUAAAAGGUUGAGCCGAACCAUACAGAAUACUUUCGUGGUCUUCAUCCAGAGAAUGUCCCCUGUGUAAUAUUUAUUCGGUAUUGAUCCACCACUUCAACAUAUUAAUGCUCCUUUCACUAUUACUUCCGAUGAAGUUCAUUGACCAAUAAAAAUCUGCUCUUUUCUCACAGGAAUAUCGGACCAUCAUUGUAAGUUUAAUAGGUAGCAGCAAUCUACACCUGGCGAAGAACACCUAGGCAGACUCUCCGUAGAUAUGAUCAGUGAGUGAACCAUAACACCGUUUAUUUAGGAACUACUGAAUGUACAUUGACCUCAAGCAACCUGUAAGGCACCGAAAAAUAAACUAUGAAACAAAUCGCAGUGUUCCCUAUUACUUGCCAUUUAUUUAUUAGGCUGAAGAAUGUGGACAGAUUCACAUAAUAUGAUUUUUAUUUUCAUCAAAGAUACCUUGUUUGAUCAUGGAAACCUCUCAAAUCAAGUUUGGAUCUACAGUACCGAUUACAAACCACACAAUAGGUGAAAGAAGAAAAGAGAUAUCUCGAAUUCCAAUAAUGAUCCAAUAAGUUUUUGCUCAUUAUGCAUGUUCAAACUUCAAUCUAUCUGAUAACAAGGAACUGGAGAACAGUAAUUCAUACGAGACAACAAGUGAGUUAAAUUAAUUUCUUCAAAUUAAUCUACAUUAAAAACUAACGUGUUGUAUGCAAAAUUUCAUUCCAUUUUGAUUGGGAUUCAAAUGAUAACACUUGCCAGAAAAUUAUGUAAUUUGCUAGCGCGCUAUUCAAUCCAUAGCAAUAAGAUCAAGAUGACGUUUAUCUACUAUUACUUGGUUUUUUAUUGAACUUGUGAAUUAAAAAUAAAUAAUUCACAGAGUGGAUAAACGUAGUUGCUAAGGGUAGAAUAAUGUUGUCUCAAAAUGUCAAAACGUCGGAACUUUAAAAAUUAUUUGCUAGGCGCAUUAUAUUCAUUGAAAGGAAAGAUUCAUGAGAUAAUCGUCACAAAUCUGAUUUCAGCUCUUCAAAAAAGAGAACUUUUGAAAAUAUCUUCCAAAUUAUGAUCAUUACCUAGAUUCAACAGUCCCUAUCGUGUAUCAUAAGGAAUAAAUGUAAAACCCUACAUUACUCGCGUGGUCUACGAUUGUAGACCAUACCUAUUCGAACGAUAAAAAAUAAAUGUUGAAAUCUAAGGCAUUGAAGUUUUCUCGAUUUCCUCUCAAAGAGAAGCAUUAUUUUAUCACAAAGUUUCAAUUAUAUGAAUAACAAGUGGUCAAAUAAACGAUAUCAUCAUAGAUAAUCUUUGAAAUAUAUCAACGUAAUAUUUAAAGUUAAAAUAAAUAUGGUCUACACUUGUAGACCACGCGAGUAAAUACGAUCUAAAAGAGGGCGCGACUAACGCAGGGUUAAAAGUAUAAUAGCCCAUAGCCCUAGAAAGUAUGAGGCUAGUAUAACUCAAGGUUUUCUCUUGAAGUUUUUAGAAGCAUAAAUUUUCCAUAUCCCGAUAAAAAUAGAUUACACUCUCGUCAGUCUCGUUAAAAUUAGUUUAAUCAUCGUUUUAAGUUUUUGUUUCUCUUUGUUGCAAUUCAGUAUACAGAAAUGCCGAGAGAAAGAACAAUUUUUUGGAUAUAAUUCAGGAAGAUGAUGGCCUAAAUGCAGCGGACUUGAUUGUUUAUGGCAUUCCCAGGAGAAAUAGGAGAAUAUGAUACAGGCUCGGGAAUAUUAUACCAGAGUACAUUAUAUUCAUAGCUUUCAUGACAUAUUGUUCUACAAAUUAAUCUGCGUCAGUGAGGAUGAACUGAAUGUGUAGUAGCACGUUGGCGCACGUCAAUGUUUUACAUCCAAACAAGGCGAUUUUACGUAGGGCUAUUCGGAUAAAGCAAAGAUUAUAGAGAAUAACUAACUCUAUAAUCUUUGGGAUAAAGCUCAUUUUGUCUCAUUUGCACAAGCAGUUAUUGAAGGAAGUUCUUUGAAUAAGUGAAACAGUCAUGUACUUCUUCUCCUUGUGAGUGAGAAAAUGCCGAAGAUUUUGAAGAUUUAUGAUUCUAAUCCUAACCUAAAAGUUUCUGGAACUCUUGUCCGAUGGUUUGAUUGCUUAUAAUAUAUAACCGUUGAAAACAUUGGAUACUAGAUAUUUUCCAGGUUGCAAUUAAUUACUUGGAUGAUUAUUAUAUGUUGGGUUCCUCGCUGAUAACAGUAUAGUAUCAUUAUUAUCUGGAUGGGAAAAAAAGUUGAAAAAGUUUCGAAAAUUGAUCGGUUGCCAAAGUUUUUAAUGAAAAUACGACAAAAUUACUCCCAUCAAUACUUGGCCCAAAGUUUCACAAGUUUCUGUCAAGAUGCAUACAAAUGACAUCUAAAACUACACCCCCACCAACCCUCUGAAGUUGAAUUAUCUUGAUGCAGUAACAAGUGUAACAAAAAACCGUUGCUCUGGGUUUUAAUGGAAAUGGGUUGUUACCAACAUGCCGAACACGACAUAUAGGGUGAAAUAUUGUGUUCAUCAAAAACUACCCCCCUUACAACCCUCUGAAGUUGAACUAUGUUGAUACAGUAAAAAGUGUAAAAAAUAACCUUUGCUCGGGGUUUUUUUAUGGUAGUUGUUACCAACAUACCGAACACGAUAUAUAGGGUGAAAUAAUUUGUGCAUCAAAAACUACCCACCCCCCACCAAUGGGAAUCUAGAUUGAAAUUGGAUAUGGAAUGAUCAUAUAGACGAUGUUUGUAAAAAGAUAAACUCCUCCUAUUCUGCUAUUGGUAGAAUCAAAAAACUGUUUCCUCUCGAAUCUCUUCUUCAAGUGUAUUACUGUAUGUGUUACCCUCAUAUGACUAACAAUUUCAGGGACACUCACAGGUUUCUAAAUUCUGAGAGUUAGUGAAGAGGAUAUGAUUGUGUGGUGUUUUUUUCUGUGUUGUAUUGUUGAUUCACCUUGAUAUUGGUCAUUGCUGGGUAUUGUAGACUUCGAUAAUUAAAAAUAAGAUAUGAAACACUUCUCUGUGGUUUUUGUUUUGUUGAGUUGAGGUUGACAUUUGUCUUUCUGGAAAUUUCCUUUAAGAACUGACAGAUUAUCCUGACUUGAAUAUUAAAUGCUUGAACGUUUGGCUAAUUUAGAUGAGUUUACUUUCAUUGACUGAUUCUUCACAAAUAUAUUGACUCGAUGACUUUUUUGUGUUGGUCAUAUGAUUUCAUGGAACCAAUUUAUCUUCAUGGUUUUGGAAAAUGGCGAAUACCGAAACAUGUUAAACCUAGAUAAAAAAAAUAAGGUCCACAUUUUCGAGGAGUUUUGACUUUAUUCCCCUUCUAUUAUUCUCAUUUGGUGCGGUACGUUCCACUUACUAGGGUUGUCAUUUGCCAGAAAAAAAUGAUUAGGAUGAUUUUCAGCUUAUAUCCGCGAGCGUUCUGUCGACCUUAUUCUUCUGAAAAAUGAUAUGAACUUUAGAAAACUAUCAAGUCACUAUUCUUACUCGACUAGAAACAGUGACGUCUUAGUUCUUCGCGGGCACAGGACGUCGAAGUUCGCACCUACCUAUCAAAGAAUUAUUAUGUUCAAUCAUUUACCAAUCUCUAUAAAAAGUGAGAAUAUCAGCCAAUUCAAGAAAAUACCAUUAAACGUUAUAUCGUAUAAAAGUUACCAUUCCGUAAGUGAAUAUUUGAAGGAUGAAGAGUUAGAAUUAUAAUUCAAAAUUAUUUCUUUUUUCUGUUAUUUUUGUUUUGUUUUUGCUUUGAAUAAGUGCUAUUAUUAGUUUGCUUUUUUGUCUUCUUAACUAUGACCUGUCCUAUACUUGUUUGUCUGAAAGGAUCAAUAAAUGCUAUUAUUAUCAACAAGGAAAUGCCGCAGAUGGGCUCGCAUUAGUUGAAAUGCCAAUUCCAAAAAGAAUCAUAUCACUAGCAGUGGAUGUGAUGAAUAUUCUCUAAUAAAUGAGCUCGCAAAAAAGGUUUCUGUUCUCUUUUACCACUGAAUAAAGAAUAGCUUUAUGUUUCAAAAAUUUUAAGUGAUUACAGAAAUACACUCUAGGUUCAUUGAGACGUCACGUUUUCUCACCAGUUAACUGAAAAAACGCUAUGUGCAGAAGAAUUUUGAGAGUUAGUUAUUUAAUUUUGAUAGGCGGAUAGAAAGUGUUUAUUAUGUGGGGCUUCUGAGUCAGAAAUAAUUUUGUUUUCCAUAGAACCCCGAAAGGUAAGAAAAAUUGUUCUUUUAAACCGUCGUUUAAACCCAAGAUAUUUUAAGAAAAACUAUAUUUUCUUUCGCGGGAAUCAGUUGUGGAUGCAAACUCUGGGUUUGAGAUAAUUUGUUGUUAGAAGGCCUCAACAACCAUUCCAAUUUCACAGAAACUCAACCGAAAUGCUAAACCCAUGGCUUGGGUAAUCCCUUCUGAACAUUGAUCUUCAUGAUCUUUCACUUCGUGAAUUUGGGAAUAUAUACACACCUAGUUGAUGAAGAUGAUAUGGAAGCCGCUAAUACUUCAUCACAGAAGCCUAAAUUUGGUGAAAUAAUCGAAUUUUGGAGUUGAUUGUCCGGUGCUUGAUGGCAACUAUGUCCAUUGAACAUAUCAUCUACUUUUUUCUGCUUCCCAAAAAGCCAAUUCCAAUCUGUCAUUUUCUGAUCGAUUUAUCUGCGUGGUCGAUUCGGCGGAGACAUUUGAUUCUCCGAGGCCCAAAAUCCUUUCAAAUUUUUCAUCGCUGAGUUGACCAUGACGAUCGAAAAUCAUUCCUAAGUUGUUAGAUAUGGAAGAACCAGGUUGAUUGAUAUUAUUCGACUCAGCAAAGAUUUUGGCUUCUUUCAGACGCUAAAUCUUUUCGAAUUCCUCUUUGCUGAGUUGUUGUGGUGAUGGCUGAGGUUCUGAAGUUAUUCCGAAGAUGUCAGACACUCAAUAAUCAGAGAUUCUGUCUUUUUCCACACACAAAAUCCUUUCGAAUUCAUCAUCGCUGAGUUGAGGAGCAGAUUGCUGUGAUCCGAAACUCAUUCCGGAGGUGUUUUAGGGACAUUUUGGAUUAUUACUCUAGUUUAAUUGAAGGUUCGAAGAACCCGAAGAACUGACCUGUAUACUUGCAUACCUUUUCUAUUGUUAUUCAUUUCGGAUUAUUUCAUAAAUAAUAACUGUUGCAAUAUUACUGACUAGAUAGGGUCAUCUGUGUGUUAGAGUGUUACUCGUGGAGAUUAUCGAUCAAUUCAUUGAAAAACGUCAGUAUAAUACGCAUCUUCAUUCUCAUAAACCUGAAACCCAUUACAUGGCGAUCCUGCAGGCCUGAUGUCCUAGCAAAGAUGAACUGCAGAGUGUCGUAUAUCAAGUAAUAUUCCACCGGUAGAACUGUCUGUCAGUUAUGAGUUUUAAAAAGAAGAAACAUGGGAAGUAGUCAUUCCAAGGACACCACCCAAGAGGUAAACAAAAAUGGAGCGGUAAAUUCGAACUUUAUUGUGCAAGAGAGUGAGUAGAAUAUCUCAAAGGACAUGAAAAUUGUGAUUUAUCUCAUUUUGGUUUUGUCAAUUUUGGCUGCUCAAUAUGUUGUUCAAACUCUACAAGACACAUAAGAAAACUAUGAUGAGGAGAGUAAGACGGGAGGCUGCCACAUCGAUGUCAUCAAUAUCAGCAGAGUAGUGAUCCUCGAUUAAAACAAUCCGCGCAGUAGUGGAGCGCCGUAACUACAUUUACGAAAAGGGUGAGCAAAUUGAAGAACAUGCAUAUUCUUUUUUGUAUUAUAUAUUGAACGAAAAACAGUGAAUCAAACUGUACGCUCUUGUACAAAUAGUUUGAUAAGAAAUCUGUGUACGAAAAUACUUCGUCCCGGAAAGAAUCCGUGUUGACUCUCUUUUAUCGACGACUUCAGAUUAUAGAACAGACCGUUCAAAACAAUACUGUAAAUAUUUUGCUGCAUACCGAUAUCUUGCAGACUCCCCGAUAGUUUUCAACAAAGUUCCUUCCACCAGAAUUCUUUAAAUUGGUAUCAAUAAUGCAGUUUUCCAUGCAUUGGGAAAUUCCCCAGAUCUGAUGGACUCAUUGAAUAAUUUUUUAAGAGGAUAACAUAAGGUCUCACAACAGUUUUUGACGACAUAUGAUGGGUAACCAUCAAAACAAACUCCUUAGUUUUUAAUAUAUUUCCAAAAGCUCUUAGAACUAGUUUUCACUUCAUCUUGAAUAGUAUUCAAAUACAUCUAUGUUCUUUCCUUAUUAAUUCUUCGCUUUUUUUUCGAAAAAAUCUGAAUUUAUCAAAAUGAUAUUUAUGUCCAAAUAUUUUCCAUUUUUUAUGCAUCUUUUUUCUGUGUGCGUUAUCAGUUGAGACGGACAAAAAUGAAGGAAAUUUUCUAUUUCUUAAUGAAACUUUCGGAAUAUACAAACUCGCACCCUCCGACAAAGCCACAUAAAAAUUAUCAGUAGCUUCAUUCAUUGUUAAGUGAUCAUGAAAAAUAUCUUGAUUCAAAUAUGCAAGAUAAAAAUGCAAUCUACUAUGUGUGUGGAUACAUGGUGAAAAAUUUCUCAAGAUCCAUAACUGCGAAAGUUAUAGGGAUAUACUUUUGGAUAAAGAGAAACUGUUGAUAGGUGAGCAUCAAAUGUUCACCUAUAUGAAGCAGAACGAGUCAAUUACGCAUGACCAAGGAUUGCUAUAUACUUCUGAAAGCCUAUACGAUUAUGUUCAGAAGCAGAAGUUAUUCAUAAUGAAUAUUUUAAAGAGCUCCUGCAUAGUCGAAGAAUUGUCAAAGACUUAAUUUAUGUGGUGCGGAAAACUCAUGAAAUUUAUUUUAAUCUUUGUUCUCCUGAGGCAAGCGAUGAAUUUUUAUUUAUGUUUAUUGGAUGCCAUUGGAAAGUUCGCUUCGAAAACCAAGGGAAGCAGAAAAGUGCUAUAAAAAAAGCGAAAACUAAAAAAUAUUGCACUCCUGUAUAUUAUUAUGUAUUUAUAUCAUUAUUUGAGUAAAAAAAUAACAAAAACAGAGAAGCCCACCACUUCGGGACUCCCAGGGAAACCACCAAAACGCUGGUAUGAGAGCUGGACUUCGGCAUCCCAAGAUGGAAACACCGGACUGAGUCCUAAACGAAGAGAAAGAAGAAGAAGGAAAAUAUAUUCAACGAUUCAUUUCAAUUCAUCUUUUUUUUAAUGAAGUGCAAUUCCUUCUUAUGUAUGAAUGAAAGUAUUAUACUCUACUAAGCUGAAAGGCAUUGAAAAAGUGAAGAAAGACAACGAUUAGCAGGUCUUAUUCGAUUACUGUAUCAAAAAAAUUGUGUUGAAAGGUUUAUUUAACGGCAGUUCAAUCAUGAUCACAUGGUAUAAUUAAUCGGUGGAGAAACUGUUAAUUUUAUUUUGUAUGAGAAUUUUGUGCUUCUUCGAAAGGAAAAAUGACUAUAUGAUUUUCCGUUAAUGUGUAAUAUUUCAUUAUUUUUAUUAUGUAUUUAACAAAUUCUGCGUAACAAUUAUUUCAAGUCCUUAGUGUUAGAAAUCAAUUUGCCAGGAAUUGAGAAGGUUUUUCAUCAUUCCAAAUUUUUUUUCUCUUUUAUUUCCAAUUACAGAAGGGAUAAUGGAAUCAGAUACGAAAUCUAAAAACAAAAUUCUAGAGCUAACUGAAACCAAGUGCACUGAUAGACAAAUCAAGCCAAUACGUGAGAUUUGCGAAUAAUUAUAAGGAUCUAAAAGAAUACAAUGUUGAAACAGAGGAAGAAUCGAGCGAUUCGGAGUGGGAGAAUUACGAGGAAUAGAGGAAAGAGCAGAUGUAUCUUUCACUCAUAUCGGAUAUCCAAGAUGUUAAUCAUCUGAUAUACGUAUCGACUAAUUGGAAAUAAACUCAAAAAUAAAUACAUAUAUAAUUACAUAAUCCUAACCAUAAUUAGGUCAAAUUGGACUUUUGUUUGUUCCCUAUUUGAAUAUACAAUAGUCAUGCAGAUCAUAAUAUUGAGCAAUAGUGCGGCCAGUGUGUGUGCAUUUUUAUCUUUUAUAUAACUCUAUGUUUAUAUCUAUGUAUUUAUAGAGAAAUGUUACUACUUUAUUCAAGACUAUCUGAAUGAAGAUGGACUGCAUUAAUCUUUGUAUUACUGUCACUGUAUAAUUUGUUAUUUUUUUUCUUGCUACCAAUGACCUGUCCCAUAUUGAGAGGAUCAAUAAAUGUUAUUAUUAUUAUAUUAUUAUCAUUAUGUUUCAAAUAUCCAUUCAUUCGAGAUGCAGUUCAGAAUUAAUUCAGUAGCCCAUCCAGUAGCCAUUGAGUUAAGUUGCUUAGCUCUCAUUAUACAGAGUACUCUCUAGUCACCGUUGUACAUUUACAAAAAUAGAGUUUGUUUUUAAAAACAGAGUUCUCAUAAUAAAAAGUAAAAUGAUAUCAAUAAAAACCGGUAACGAAUAUACUACCCAACUAUGGUAAAAAACAGUGUUUGGUGCUUUUGCAUUCUCACACUGUUACACCUAUUACAACAUAUAAAAGCAGUAACAUUGUCCAUAAUUCUUUAGAAAAACCAGAAAACAGUUACUGCUUUCAAGUUAGAUUCGACCAAAUACAACACAAAAAGCAGUAUUCUCUGUCAAAGCAAGUUCAAAAGGCAAUAAAUUUAAGAGCAAAAAAACAGUAACUUGUAGGUGUUGCCCUUUUAAUGUUGCUUCAUUGAAAUCAUUAGGUUGUAAUUUUGAAAAUUUUAAUUAAUAAUUUACAUACUCGGAUUGUCUCUAAGUUUCAAAGGAUUCAUUUCUUUUCUGAAAAUGGUUCCCAUAAAUAAGUUUCAAUUCGAUCAUGGAGUUUGAGGGAAACAGCCAAUCAAAGCAUAAAAAAUAUUAGGAAGGGCACAAAAAAUCUUGUCUCCUGGCCCAUAUUUUGAAUUUCGCCACUGCGUCUCUUCAUAUAGUCCAAAUCAAUAGUUAAAUACGCAGCUAGGGAAGAUGAAGAAAGUUUCAAGAUUCAUUUGGAUUCCAUAAAUGCUGAAUCAUCACUAUUACUUACAUUUUCAUAAUGAAAUAUGUAAUAAAUUUUUAACUUGAGAUCACCUACUACUGAAAAUGAGAUCGCGGGGAAGAAUCCAUUUCAAUUUUUUUGGAGAUAUCUCAACGUCUUUACUGAAUGAUGAUAAUUGAAGGUUCUUCUAUGGAUUUGAAUCGAAACAUCCACAGAUAAUGAUUUUUCGAAAUUAGGAAUAUAAAAAUACAUAUUAUUUUUAACUUUCUUAAUCUCCCAUCUAGAUACAUCAAUUUUAAUUGAAUAAUUAUUCAGGAGGUUUUCAAAAUUUUUGUUCGGUUCUAGAGAUACCUCUAUAUGAUGCAUACAGGAGGUUCAACUGGUGUAUAUAACUUAGAGUCAACAAUGCCAGAGCCGAAGAACAAAGCAAAUAGGAAAUUUUAGAUGAAAUAAAAUUCAAUUUUCCAUUUUUUCAAGAAACACAAGUAACACGGCAUUAACAACAUGGUGAUCCCUUCAAUAAAAUCGAUGUAGACUCAUUAUGAGAACUUGAGUGAUCCAAAAAAAAUCUGCUUGUGAGAAUGUUAGUAAUGACUUGCUGAGCUGAGCCAGAGAUUUUCGAUUACUACAAAGAUGAUUCCGAAUAAAUGGAAAUUUCUUGUCAGAAGAUAUAAAAUGGCCAAAGACCAGAAAAAAAGGUGGAAAGAGCCCCGAGCAGGUUUUUAUUUUUUGAUGAGAUGGAUGCUUAUCUGGGUAAUAAAUUCAGUAAUAAAUGUCCAUAUGCCCUGCAGAGCAGUUUUGUUGAUGACAUGUUAAGUCUCAAAACAUGUUAAUAAUUAACUGCUUUGUCAGAUCAACAUUGUGGAAAGAAGUCUUAAAGUGAAAUUUAAUAUGCAUAGAAUCGGUAUACUUUCAUACCUUUUAGUGUAUGGCAAAAUUAUGAACGUAAACUUUAUUUCAGAGAAUACUAGAUAUUCUGAGCCUGCAGUAUUCAUUGAUACAAUCAUUAC